GACGAACGCUGGCGGCGUGCUUAGCACAUGCAAGUCGAACGGAAAGGCCCUGCUUUUGUGGGGUGCUCGAGUGGCGAACGGGUGAGUAACACGUGAGUAACCUGCCCUUGACUUUGGGAUAACUUCAGGAAACUGGGGCUAAUACCGGAUAGGAGCUCCUGCUGCAUGGUGGGGGUUGGAAAGUUUCGGCGGUUGGGGAUGGACUCGCGGCUUAUCAGCUUGUUGGUGGGGUAGUGGCUUACCAAGGCCUUGACGGGUAGCCGGCCUGAGAGGGUGACCGGCCACAUUGGGACUGAGAUACGGCCCAGACUCCUACGGGAGGCAGCAGUGGGGAAUAUUGCACAAUGGGCGGAAGCCUGAUGCAGCAACGCCGCGUGCGGGAUGACGGCCUUCGGGUUGUAAACCGCUUUCGCCUGUGACGAAGCGUGAGUGACGGUAAUGGGUAAAGAAGCACCGGCUAACUACGUG
RNAcentral lists this ribosomal RNA (468 nucleotides) under uncultured bacterium. Its description in RNAcentral is "partial 16S ribosomal RNA". It matches the Rfam family "Bacterial small subunit ribosomal RNA", at positions 28 to 507 of the family's 1533-position model. The record is from RNAcentral.